This is a non-coding RNA of Paramuricea clavata, 86 nucleotides long. Lineage: Eukaryota; Metazoa; Cnidaria; Anthozoa; Malacalcyonacea; Plexauridae. The record is from the annotation of a GenBank genome assembly.
ACAUGAUGUGCGACCAAUCUCAUGGGAUGUUUUAUGUUUUAAAACAUAAAACAUAAAACAUCCCAUGGGAUGGUUGCACAUCAUGU